This 497-nucleotide ribosomal RNA is filed under the name uncultured bacterium. Its description in RNAcentral is "partial 16S ribosomal RNA". It matches the Rfam family "Bacterial small subunit ribosomal RNA", at positions 28 to 507 of the family's 1533-position model. The record is from RNAcentral.
GAUGAACGCUGGCGGCGUGCCUAAUACAUGCAAGUCGAGCGAACGGACGAGAAGCUUUCUUCUCUGAUGUUAGCGGCGGACGGGUGAGUAACACGUGGAUAACCUACCUAUAAGACUGGGAUAACUUCGGGAAACCGGAGCUAAUACUGGAUAAUAUUUUCAACCGCAUGGUUCAAAAGUGAAAGACGGUCUUGCUGACACUUAUAGCUGGAUCCGCGCUGCAUUAGCUAGUUGGUAAGGUAACGGCUUACCAAGGCAACGAUGCAUAGCCGACCUGAGAGGGUGAUCGGCCACACUGGAACUGAGACACGGUCCAGACUCCUACGGGAGGCAGCAGUAGGGAAUCUUCCGCAAUGGGCGAAAGCCUGACGGAGCAACGCCGCGUGAGUGAUGAAGGUCUUCGGAUCGUAAAACUCUGUUAUUAGGGAAGAAAAUAUGUGUAAGUAACUGUGCACAUCUUGACGGUACCUAAACAGAAAGCCACGGCUAACUACGUG